UUAGUGGCGGACGGGUGAGUAACGCGUGGGUAACCUGCCUUACACAGGGGGAUAACACUUAGAAAUAGGUGCUAAAACCGCAUAAGCGCACAGCUUCGCAUGAAGCGGUGUGAAAAACUCCGGUGGUGUAAGAUGGACCCGCGUCUGAUUAGCUUGUUGGCGGGGUAACGGCCCACCAAGGCGACGAUCAGUAGCCGGCCUGAGAGGGCGGACGGCCACAUUGGGACUGAGGCACGGCCCAGACUCCUACGGGAGGCAGCAG
RNAcentral lists this ribosomal RNA (262 nucleotides) under uncultured bacterium. Its description in RNAcentral is "partial 16S ribosomal RNA". It matches the Rfam family "Bacterial small subunit ribosomal RNA", at positions 92 to 354 of the family's 1533-position model. The record is from RNAcentral.